AUGUACAAAUGCAUCAAUAGUUUAAAAAAAAAACUAAUCACAUUUCCUUUUUUCAGUUAGUAAGUACCAAGUUCAAGUAUCAGUAAGAGAGGUAUAUAUAUUAUUUUAACUGCAAUGCAACACUAGUAGCUGUAUUUCCGGUAAGGUAAACUUUUUUGCCAGAUUUGAUAUAAUAUUUAACCAUCGGACGUAAGUCACGAACAAAGUAGACAAAAAAAGACAAAGAGUAACACUUGUCUUGUCAAGCAUAUAUAAGAGCCCAAACUAUGAUGGC
RNAcentral lists this long non-coding RNA (274 nucleotides) under Mytilus galloprovincialis (Mediterranean mussel). The record is from RNAcentral. Lineage: Eukaryota; Metazoa; Mollusca; Bivalvia; Mytilida; Mytilidae.